Molecule: ribosomal RNA, 260 nt
Filed under: uncultured bacterium
Lineage: Bacteria
Description: partial 16S ribosomal RNA
Source: RNAcentral
CUGCUGCCUCCCGUAGGAGUCUGGGCCGUGUCUCAGUCCCAAUGUGGCCGUUCAACCUCUCAGUCCGGCUACUGAUCGUCGACUUGGUAGGCCGUUACCCCACCAACUAUCUAAUCAGACGCGAGUCCAUCCUUAGGCGCCUCAGCUUUGGUAUAUCUACGAUGCCGUUAAUAUACUUUAUAUGGUAUUACCGUCCGUUUCCAGACGCUAUCCCUUUCCUAAGGGCAGGUUACUCACGCGUUACUCACCCGUCCGCCACU